CCCAGACUCCUACGGGAGGCAGCAGUGGGGGAUAUUGCACAAUGGGGGAAACCCUGAUGCAGCGACGCCGCGUGGGUGAAGAAGCGCCUCGGCGCGUAAAGCCCUGUCAGCAGGGAAGAAAAUGACGGUACCUGAAGAAGAAGCCCCGGCUAACUACGUGCCAGCAGCCGCGGUAAUACGUAGGGGGCAAGCGUUAUCCGGAUUUACUGGGUGUAAAGGGAGCGUAGACGGCCAGACAAGUCUGAAGUGAAAAUCCAGCGCUUAACGUUGGAAGUGCUUUGGAAACUGCCGGGCUAGAGUGCAGGAGGGGCAGGCGGAAUUCCUAGUGUAGCGGUGAAAUGCGUAGAUAUUAGGAGGAACACCAGUGGCGAAGGCGGCUUACUGGACUGUAACUGACGUUGAGGCUCGAAAGCGUGGGGAGCAAACAGGAUUAGAUACCCGUGUAU
RNAcentral lists this ribosomal RNA (446 nucleotides) under uncultured bacterium. RNAcentral's name for it is "bacterial SSU rRNA". It matches the Rfam family "Bacterial small subunit ribosomal RNA", at positions 330 to 793 of the family's 1533-position model. The record is from RNAcentral.